GACGAACGCUGGCGGCGUGCUUAACACAUGCAAGUCGAGCGGUAAGGCCCUUCGGGUACGACGAGCGGCGAACGGGUGAGUAACGACGUGGGUAACCUGCCCUCAGCUCUGGGAUAAGCCCGGGGAAACUGGGUCUAAUACCGGAUAUCACCUUGGGAGGCAUCGUUCCGGGGUUGAAAGUUUUUGGCGGCUGAGGAUGGGCCCGCGGUCUAUCAGCUUGUUGGUGGGGUAGUGGCCUACCAAGGCGACGACGGGAGCCGGCCUGAGAGGGCGACCGGCCACACUGGGACUGAGACACGGCCCAGACUCCUACGGGAGGCAGCGAGUGGGGAAUCUUGCGCAAUGGGCGAAAGCCUGACGCAGCGACGCCGCGUGAGGGAUGACGGCC
This 388-nucleotide ribosomal RNA is filed under the name uncultured bacterium. Its description in RNAcentral is "bacterial SSU rRNA". It matches the Rfam family "Bacterial small subunit ribosomal RNA", at positions 28 to 416 of the family's 1533-position model. The record is from RNAcentral.